Molecule: long non-coding RNA, 329 nt
Filed under: Salvia miltiorrhiza (redroot sage)
Lineage: Eukaryota; Viridiplantae; Streptophyta; Magnoliopsida; Lamiales; Lamiaceae
Description: long non-coding RNA (SMIL_LNC002596)
Source: RNAcentral
AGUUUUGGUUGAAAGAAGUGGCAAAGCCAAGAUCAGAUGGUACAGAGAUUUUUCUGACAUAUGAAUAGCAGAAUCCUAGGUGCAUUUUUUUUUUUAAUUAUUACACUAGUAGAUCUCAAGGUUAUUGGUAAAUUAGCAAGAUGAAUAUAAUAAUUCUUCUUCUUCUUCUUUUUUUUAUUCUAUUUUUAUUUAUUUUUGGGGGAUUUUUUCCCCCUUCUUGUUAUUGAUAAAGUACUUGUAGAUAGUAAAUUCUAUGAUCGAUUGAUACUAUUGAAAUAUGAAAGUCAUAUUUGAACUUUUUGCUUCGGAUAUUUUUGCAUUUUCAUGAU